CGGCGGACGGGUGAGUAACGCGUGGGUAACCGUGCCUCAUACAGGGGGAUAACAGUUGGAAACGGCUGCUAAUACCGCAUAAGCGCGCAGUACCGCAUGGUACGGUGUGAAAAACUCCGGUGGUAUGAGAUGGACCCGCGUCUGAUUAGGUAGUUGGUGGGGUAACGGCCUACCAAGCCGACGAUCAGUAGCCGACCUGAGAGGGUGACCGGCCACAUUGGGACUGAGACACGGCCCAA
Molecule: ribosomal RNA, 239 nt
Filed under: uncultured bacterium
Lineage: Bacteria
Description: partial 16S ribosomal RNA
Rfam family: Bacterial small subunit ribosomal RNA
Source: RNAcentral